RNAcentral lists this ribosomal RNA (1341 nucleotides) under uncultured bacterium. RNAcentral's name for it is "bacterial SSU rRNA". It matches the Rfam family "Bacterial small subunit ribosomal RNA", at positions 28 to 1381 of the family's 1533-position model. The record is from RNAcentral.
GAUGAACGCUGGCGGCGUGCUUAACACAUGCAAGUCGAACGAUGAAGCCCAGCUUGCUGGGUGGAUUAGUGGCGAACGGGUGAGUAACACGUGAGUAACCUGCCCUUGACUCUGGGAUAAGCCUGGGAAACUGGGUCUAAUACUGGAUAUGACUUCUCAUCGCAUGGUGGGGGGUGGAAAGAUUUAUUGGUCUUGGAUGGACUCGCGGCCUAUCAGCUUGUUGGUGAGGUAAUGGCUCACCAAGGCGACGACGGGUAGCCGGCCUGAGAGGGUGACCGGCCACACUGGGACUGAGACACGGCCCAGACUCCUACGGGAGGCAGCAGUGGGGAAUAUUGCACAAUGGGCGCAAGCCUGAUGCAGCGACGCCGCGUGAGGGAUGACGGCCUUCGGGUUGUAAACCUCUUUCAGUAGGGAAGAAGCGAGAGUGACGGUACCUGCAGAAGAAGCGCCGGCUAACUACGUGCCAGCAGCCGCGGUAAUACCUAGGGCGCGAGCGUUAUCCGGAAUUAUUGGGCGUAAAGAGCUCGUAGCGGUUUGUCGCGUCUGCCGUGAAAGUCCGGGGCUUAACUCCGGAUCUGCGGUGGGUACGGGCAGACUAGAGUGCAGUAGGGGAGACUGGAAUUCCUGGUGUAGCGGUGAAAUGCGCAGAUAUCAGGAGGAACACCGAUGGCGAAGGCAGGUCUCUGGGCUGUAACUGACGCUGAGGAGCGAAAGCAUGGGGAGCGAACAGGAUUAGAUACCCUGGUAGUCCAUGCCGUAAACGUUGGGCACUAGGUGUGGGGGACAUUCCACGUUUUCCGCGCCGUAGCUAACGCAUUAAGUGCCCCGCCUGGGGAGUACGGCCGCAAGGCUAAAACUCAAAGGAAUUGACGGGGGCCCACACAAGCGGCGGAGCAUGCGGAUUAAUUCGAUGCAACGCGAAGAACCUUACCAAGGCUUGACAUGUUCCUGAUCGCCGUAGAGAUACGGUUUCCCCUUUGGGGCAGGUUCACAGGUGGUGCAUGGUUGUCGUCAGCUCGUGUCGUGAGAUGUUGGGUUAAGUCCCGCAACGAGCGCAACCCUCGUUCCAUGUUGCCAGCACUUCGGGUGGGGACUCAUGGGAGACUGCCGGGGUCAACUCGGAGGAAGGUGGGGACGACGUCAAAUCAUCAUGCCCCUUAUGUCUUGGGCUUCACGCAUGCUACAAUGGCCGGUACAAUGGGUUGCGAUACUGUGAGGUGGAGCUAAUCCCAAAAAGCCGGUCUCAGUUCGGAUUGGGGUCUGCAACUCGACCCCAUGAAGUCGGAGUCGCUAGUAAUCGCAGAUCAGCAACGCUGCGGUGAAUACGUUCCCGGGCCU